RNAcentral lists this ribosomal RNA (253 nucleotides) under uncultured bacterium. RNAcentral's name for it is "partial 16S ribosomal RNA". It matches the Rfam family "Bacterial small subunit ribosomal RNA", at positions 524 to 776 of the family's 1533-position model. The record is from RNAcentral.
UACGUAGGGGGCUAGCGUUGUCCGGAAUUACUGGGCGUAAAGCGUGCGCAGGCGGUUUUGUAAGUCUGACGUGAAAUCCCCGGGCUCAACCUGGGAAUUGCAUUGGAAACUAGCGGGCUGGAGUGUGGCAGAGGGGGGUGGAAUUCCACGUGUAGCAGUGAAAUGCGUAGAGAUGUGGAGGAACACCGAUGGCGAAGGCAGCCCCCUGGGCUAACACUGACGCUCAUGCACGAAAGCGUGGGGAGCAAACAGG